GCAGAGGGAGGUCGUACAGUGGCAGAGUCGGUGGCGCGGCGGUGGAAGGAGGCUAGGGUGCGGCGCAGUAGCACUAGGGUUUAACUUGUUCUUUUUUUUUCUGAUUUGAUGCUUUGGGCUGAUGCUUUGGGCUAUUAGGGUUUGGGUAGUUGGGCGUGUAUUUGCUGGGCUGGUAGGUUAGUUUUAGGUGGGUUGGGGUUUCUGUUUUGGGUACUGGUCCCGGGCAAAAUUUGGGUUGUACAAUC
This 245-nucleotide long non-coding RNA is filed under the name Gossypium raimondii (Peruvian cotton). RNAcentral describes it as "long non-coding RNA (GRAI_LNC009561)". The record is from RNAcentral. Lineage: Eukaryota; Viridiplantae; Streptophyta; Magnoliopsida; Malvales; Malvaceae.